UCCACUGGAGUUUAUUACACAAGCCCAGGAUUGGGUGAAUUCUGUGGCUGGAUGCUAUUUUUUCCCCCUGCUGUGUUCUUACUGCCUUGUACAGCAGCAUGAGGAGGUAUGAUCUGCAUUCAAGCAAGUCUACUUCCAGCUUCUCACAGCCUCUUCUGGGGAUGAACUGGGAAGUCUGGAUGCACAAAGCAGAGCACAUUUGUCAUGGAUGGAAACAACUAUGCUAUACAUUUCACAUUUCUCUUGUAAGAGAGAAACAGGAGUAUAUUUAUUGAUUGUAAUAUAGAUAUCAUGGAGUGAUUUAACAAUGACUUAGUAAGAUUUGAGAUGGCUGGAUGGACCUGAUUAUUUAUUGCACAGAUAGUAGGGUUAAAACACAGAUAUUGGAGACCCUUCUGUUGGGUCAUGAGGUUCAGAGUGGACCCCCUUUCUUUCUUACCUUUUGGUUCUAGGAAUUUAGGAGCCUAGGUGCAGUUGAGCCCAAUCCUACCCCCAGACUUGGUCGAUGAUUUAUGUUGAAGGGAUCAUGUGUGCACAAUCAAUGAUCUAAUCUUAGCAAAGCUAACAAAGCUUAAAGCCAUCAGUCACUUCCUGAGUAUCUGUAUCAGCAAAAUGUCUUGAUGUCAAAGUGUAAGGGAUC
Long non-coding RNA from Lagopus leucura (white-tailed ptarmigan), 640 nucleotides. RefSeq lists it as uncharacterized. The transcript is spliced from 3 exons. NCBI's taxonomy places the organism in Eukaryota, Metazoa, Chordata, Aves, Galliformes, Phasianidae. The record is from RefSeq and is a predicted model, not a curated record.